Hypoxylon sp. NC1633 is the source of this 145-nucleotide non-coding RNA. The record is from the annotation of a GenBank genome assembly. Lineage: Eukaryota; Fungi; Ascomycota; Sordariomycetes; Xylariales; Hypoxylaceae.
CGCCUGGUGGUGCAGUCGGCAGCACGCUCUGGUCAAGUGGAUAGUGCGGCGCUCUUGGAUGACGCGCCGCCGCCUGAUCCCACUUUGGUGAGUAGGGACAGGACAUUUCUCCGGAGAGACGCAGGUUCAAAUCCUGCCCAGGCGA